AGUGCCCCUUGCCCUCUCCACACCCGAACGCCCCGUGCCUUCUCCCACCCGCCGGAGCCCUCUCCACACCCGAGCACCCCCCGCCCUCUCCCACCUGCCGGUGCCCCCCCCUCCCCUCUCUUCCACUAUGGCGGAUCUAGAGGAUCUUGGAAGAGCUCGAGGAUGUGGUGGACCCUAUGGCCCGGCGUCCUCACGGGGACUCCCUCUCUCUCUCUCCAUCCAGGAGACGGCCGGUGCUGGGCGACGAGGCUGGACGAACGACGGCGGGGGCGGCACGACGCGACAAGGACGAGUGGUGCGACGUGGCCAGACCAGAUGCACAGAGGUCGGGCGACAUCGAUUUGACGGUGCCAUGCAUGGUUGCUGCAGCUGACACCGAGUGAAAACAUGAGGAUCAUCAUGUUCUUUAGGAAGUUUUUGCAGUGGGCAGAUGGAUCAGAGGAGAAAGGCGUCAUAACCUGAUGCCACUUGCUAGCUGAGAAUGUGUCUCCUUUCUUUUUUUUCAUCUGUUUCUUUUAUUUUAUCUUGAAGAACAGGAGGGCAAUGCUAUCUUAGUCUUCUAUUCCUUUUGCUACUUCAUUCUUUUCGUUUGGUUGUGGUCAGUUUACUUUUGUAUGUAAUUGUACUGCUUUUAUAUGUAAUUGUAGUGGGUUAUUAUAUAUUGCAAUCACAUGUGCUUGACUGUUUGUUC
Long non-coding RNA from Sorghum bicolor (sorghum), 691 nucleotides. RefSeq lists it as uncharacterized. The transcript is spliced from 3 exons. The record is from RefSeq and is a predicted model, not a curated record. NCBI's taxonomy places the organism in Eukaryota, Viridiplantae, Streptophyta, Magnoliopsida, Poales, Poaceae.